Molecule: RNA transcript, 1626 nt
Organism: Leucoraja erinaceus (little skate)
Lineage: Eukaryota; Metazoa; Chordata; Chondrichthyes; Rajiformes; Rajidae
Gene name: putative potassium channel regulatory protein
Exons: 2
Source: RefSeq, a predicted model, not a curated record
UUGUAAUGGCAAAGCGAGCGGUUUUCAUCAUGUCAGGAUGAUGGUAAAAUAUUAUUCUCCUGCUGCUUAUGACAGCCAUUCUUGGAUGCCACUGACAUCACAAUUCCCAUUGAUGAUGUCUCGUGCUGCAAUCACUGCCAACACUGAAAAUAAGAAAAAUUGCAUACACUAGAAAUCUGAAUUAAAACAGGAAAUGCUGAAAACACUCAGCAGUUCAGGCAGCAUUGUGAAGAGAAACAAAGUUAAGAUUUCAGGUUGAAAACCCUUCAUCAGAACUGGGAAAAGGACACCAUCUGGUGAUCCAGCAAGUGUAGAGGGCAGAUGUAGAUUGGCAAUGGCAGGGGUAAUAGAAGCAAAAUUGACUGUAGCAUUCAACAGGGAAGUGGAAGCACUUGAAAGGAAAGAAGUGCUUUCCUUCAGAGCAGAGAAAGGGAAAGUGCUAGCUGCAUUGCUCUGGUAGAGAGGCAGCAGGAACUGGAUUGUAUCAAUGGUCACGGCACACAUGGAUGCCAUUCUGAGAUUUUGCCAGCUCCAUGUAAAAUGAAAUAUUAAUUGAGAAUAUCUGACCUGUUGACAUCAUCUGGUAUCAAUGCAAAACAAUCCUAUCCUAUGUCAGAUAAUCAAAGAACACAGCCUAUGUCACCUACUCUACUGAUGCUACCUUCCCAGUGGUGCCACUUUUAUUGCAGUCCCCAAAAAACCCAUGUCACUAUCCCAUGACAGUCAGCGUCACCCUCCCAGUUGCCACUGUUCCAUUUUAAAAAAAACCCCUAUUGAUAGAUGAAGCAUUCCAAUCCCUGAAUGUUUAGCCAUAGUCCCCUUAACACCAUUUCUAUUGAUAGUAUGUGAUGUUGCAAGCCAAUUGUCUGACGUCAGUCUCCACUGACCGUAUUUUAAUUGAAGUCACAUUUCGUGUUGUCACUUCAAAGCCAUGUGCUGUGGGUAGAAAUUGUAGCGUAGAUUGUUUUACACUAAAUGAUACUGAAACACACCACAAUCCCCAGUAACACGGCCUGACACCGGAAUGUUACAGUACAGUGCCUGAGUAAUGCAUUUGAUACAACAACGAUAAUAUUGCCCGAUUGCCACCGACACUGCCACUGGUCCUGCCUAGCCCGCUAGUGACAGAAUAUUUAGGUUUGAGGAUUAGUAUUGCAGGGCCUCUGGUUCCAGGUAGAGGUUCGUAGUCUAACAUCAUUACCAUUAUGGCUGUGGUUGAUGCUAGAUUCAGAAACUGCAUUGCUAAUAAACUUGUUAUCAAUUAAAUGUGUCUAGUAAUUAAUCACCAAGUCUUUUGUGCAAUCAGUGAAAGCAAUUCUCAAUCUGAGGCCGCCAUCAUACACCACGCCCACGUCAGAGACGAUCAAUGAACACUAUUUAGCGAGGCGGCGUUGUGCACAGGUUUCAACACUGAAUCAAAGUUACAGGUUGCCCCGCAUUCCAGGCACUGAGCUUCCUGCCUAUAUUUUAUAAUCGGACAAGAAUUACAGAUAUGUGUCCAUUCAACCAGAUGAAAGAAAACUUAUCAAUGGUUCUAAUGUCCUUGGAUUACUCAUAGACACUUUACUGAGAGAAGGAUUUUGUCUUGUAAGCACCAGAACAGUCUCCCCCAAUGAGAAAAUUGAA